CCAAUAGCGUAUAUUAAAGUUGCUGCAGUUAAAAAGCUCGUAGUUGAAUUUCGGGACCAUCAUGUCGGUCGUGCCUCGGUACGUACUGGUAUUGUUGGUUUCUCCCUUCUGACGAACCAUGAUGUCAUUUAUUUGGUGUUGUGGGGAAUCAGGACUGUUACUUUGAAAAAAUUAGAGUGUUUAAAGCAGGCUCACGCUUGAAUACAUUAGCAUGGAAUAAUGAAAUAGGACGUUUGAUUCUAUUUUGUUGGUUUCUAGGAUCGACGUAAUGAUUAAUAGGGAUAGUUGGGGGCAUUAGUAUUCAAUUGUCAGAGGUGAAAUUCUUGGAUUUAUUGAAGACUAACUACUGCGAAAGCAUUUGCCAAGGAUGUUUUCAUUAAUCAAGAACGAAAGUUAGGGGAUCGAAGACGAUCAGAUACCGUCGUAGUCUUAACCAUAAACUAUGCCGACUAGGGAUCGGAUGAUGUUAAUUUUUUAAUGACUCAUUCGGCGCCUUAC
This 498-nucleotide ribosomal RNA is filed under the name uncultured Glomeromycotina. RNAcentral describes it as "partial small subunit ribosomal RNA". It matches the Rfam family "Eukaryotic small subunit ribosomal RNA", at positions 591 to 1091 of the family's 1831-position model. Lineage: Eukaryota; Fungi; Glomeromycota. The record is from RNAcentral.